Molecule: ribosomal RNA, 554 nt
Filed under: uncultured bacterium
Lineage: Bacteria
Description: bacterial SSU rRNA
Rfam family: Bacterial small subunit ribosomal RNA
Source: RNAcentral
AAUAGAUACCCGGGUAGUCCACGCCGUAAACGAUGAGUGCUAAGUGUUAGGGGGUUUCCGCCCCUUAGUGCUGCAGCUAACGCAUUAAGCACUCCGCCUGGGGAGUACGGUCGCAAGACUGAAACUCAAAGGAAUUGACGGGGGCCCGCACAAGCGGUGGAGCAUGUGGUUUAAUUCGAAGCAACGCGAAGAACCUUACCAGGUCUUGACAUCCCAUUGACCACUAUGGAGACAUAGUUUUCCCUUCGGGGACAACGGUGACAGGUGGUGCAUGGUUGUCGUCAGCUCGUGUCGUGAGAUGUUGGGUUAAGUCCCGCAACGAGCGCAACCCUUGUUCUUAGUUGCCAUCAUUUAGUUGGGCACUCUAAGGAGACUGCCGGUGACAAACCGGAGGAAGGUGGGGAUGACGUCAAAUCAUCAUGCCCCUUAUGACCUGGGCUACACACGUGCUACAAUGGACGGUACAAACGGUUGCCAACCCGCGAGGGGGAGCUAAUCCGGUAAAACCGUUCUCAGUUCGGAUUGUAGGCUGCAACUCGCCUACAUGAAGCCGG